AAAAAGAAAAAAAAAAAAAAAAAAAAAAAAAAAAGAAAAAAGAAAAAAAAACCAUCAACCGUCUCCAUUCACACGUUUCUUCAUUAUGAUCACGAAUUCACGUUCAUGGAAGCUUCAUCAUACAUUAACACUUACAAGUUUCUUCGUCGAGUUUUUAUCCAAGGUUUCUUCGUCAACUCUGUAUCCAAGGUAAUAAAUAUUUGUUCUUUUCAUUGGUUAGAAUUAUAGGGUGCAGGAUAGUAUUGACGUCUUAAAGACAUAACAUGGGCAAGAUACUAUGAGAAUUGGUUUAAUCUUUCUAAAAUUUGGUUAAAUUUUACAAAAAUAUUUAUAAUUUUAACAAAUCUAACUAAAAAAAUUAUGGAAUCUAGGUUAUUUAGGAUAUUUUUUGUUAUUUGCUAUAAAAUUACAACUAAAUAUAACUAAUAUUUUUGGAUAUAUAAGUUUAUUUCCGGUUUUUGGAUAUCUAUUCGGUUUUCGUUCGGAUCGGGUUUGGUUCGGAUAAUUCGAAUAGGAUUAUUUAUUAUCCGUUCUGGUUUAGGGACUAUUCGGUUUAGGUUCGGUUCUAGAUUUUUCGGAUCGGUUUUCGGAUUUCGGGUUUUAUGCCCAGUCCUAGUUUAGGUAUAUUUUAUUCAUUUAAGCACCAAAUUUUAUUAGUUAUGUCUUAUUUUUUGUAUUUAUCUUCAAAAUAGAAAUAUGAUUGAUUAAUUUCCCCUCUUAUUAUACAUAAAUAGUUUUGAAAAUUUAUUUCAAAUUUUAUGCAGUUAAAUAUUAAAUAAUUAUCAGAAUCAUAUUAAUUAAAUGUAUGACGUAAUUAUUUUGGUUGUAUUAUAAUUUAAAUCAUUUGAGCAUGUAAUUAAUAUAUGACUAAACCAUAUCUACCAACAUUAAAGUGAAAAUAAUUUGUUACACCAAAGGAACCAAAGAGUGGUGUCUUAUCUGCCAACACUGUGUUUGCCAUGGACUUAUUGAUGUUAACACAAUGCUCAGGUGACUGAAGUGGAAGUUAUCUAUUUAUCAAACGCAAUGAUAAAAUUUUGGUCAAUGACUACUGA
This 1055-nucleotide long non-coding RNA is filed under the name Arabidopsis lyrata. RNAcentral describes it as "long non-coding RNA (ALYR_LNC003027)". The record is from RNAcentral. Lineage: Eukaryota; Viridiplantae; Streptophyta; Magnoliopsida; Brassicales; Brassicaceae.